RNAcentral lists this ribosomal RNA (520 nucleotides) under uncultured archaeon. RNAcentral's name for it is "bacterial SSU rRNA". It matches the Rfam family "Archaeal small subunit ribosomal RNA", at positions 1 to 510 of the family's 1478-position model. The record is from RNAcentral.
GAAUUCGCCUUCUGGUUGAUCCUGCCGGAGAUUACCGUUAUCAGAAUUCGACUAAGCCAUGUUGAGGUAUGUUAGAUUUGGGCUCGCCGAACUGCUCAGAAAUGAGGGACAUGCCCUCAAGCGGGGGAUAAUCUUGGAAAUCUGAGGCUAAACUUCAUAGCGGGUUGGAUGCUGGAAUGCUUCAACAGUCAAAGCUCCGGCACUUGAGGAUUGGGCUGCGGCCUAUCAUGGCUGUUGUGAGUGUAAAGUACUCACAAACCUUUAACGGGUAGGGGUCAUGAGAGUGGGAGCCUCGAGAUGCCUUCUGAGACAUGAAGGCAGGUCCUACGGGACGCAGCAGGCGCGAAAACUUUCCAAUGGUUUAACGACUGAGAAGGGAAUUCUGAGUGCAUGCAUUUUAUGCAUGCUUUUUAUCCAGCCCAAAAAGCUGGGUGAAUAAGUGGGUGGGUAAGACGGGGUGGGCAGCCGCCGGCGGUAAUACCCGCGGCCAACAAAUGGGUAAAUCACCGCUUAUUUGGGG